This 253-nucleotide ribosomal RNA is filed under the name uncultured bacterium. RNAcentral describes it as "partial 16S ribosomal RNA". It matches the Rfam family "Bacterial small subunit ribosomal RNA", at positions 524 to 776 of the family's 1533-position model. The record is from RNAcentral.
AACGUAGGUGGCGAGCGUUAUCCGGAUUUACUGGGCGUAAAGGGUGUGCAGGCGGGCUGUUAAGUGGUGUAUGAAAUCGCCGGGCUCAACCGGGCGAGGUUAUGCCAGACUGGCAGUCUAGAGAGCGAGAGAGGGACGUGGAAUUCCGGGUGUAGUGGUGAAAUGCGUAGAGAUCCGGAGGAACGCCGGUGGCGCAAGCGGCCACCUGGGUCUGACCUGACGCUGAGGUGCGAAAGCGUGGGGAGCAAACCGG